AUGUGCCCUCCGGCGGUUUGGGAAGCCGAGGCAUCCCGGAGUGGGGACCGGGAUCUGCGCCCUGGGGACUGCUGGACGAGACCAGAGGUGGCUGCUUCGGUGGGGGAACCGCUCCCGCCUCUCCUACUGCCUGUGCUCUGCUCCUGGGUCAGCGGGCAAAAGUCCAAGGCUCGGCAGCCCCCGGGGCAGCGACAAGAUCACUGGCACAGGGACCUCCGGCCGAGAGAGAGGAGAGUGACCGCCAGGAGUUACCAGAGACCGGGUGCAGGUGUGCCGGUGCCGAGGUUCGGCCAGCGCCAACUUCCGCCUCUCACAGCAGCCAGCGGCUUUCCCCGUCACAGCUGCCCAGGCCCCCAGCGGCAGGGGCAGAGCAGGCUUUGGCCCCCAGCCCUGCCUGCCAGCGCCGCGUGGACUCCAGACCAGCAGCUGGCCGUGGGGCCGAGCGGAGUGCCGAGGCCCAUUCAGCUGGCCGCGAGCCCUGCUCCCCAGAUGCAGAUCCGGCAGGGCGACGGCAGGCCGCACAGGAAGCCCAGGUGCAGCAGGGCCUCGGGAAGGGUGGGGGCCGUGCAGAGACCCGGCGGCCGGGCAGGAAGGCCACGGGGCAGCGUGACCCCGGGCGGAGGCUGCAGGACGCCAAGGUCGCCCAGGCCCGGAGGAAACCUCUGUGGCAGCUCUGCCCUCCCUGCAGGUUCUGCUUCCUGGCUCUGGCCCCGAGCCCGGGAGGUGACCUGCUGUGUCCCCGCCCUCCCUUCCCCCACGUGGUGUCCAGGCUCUUGGCCCCGCCUUCCCACCCCUUCCCCCCCACAGAGCAGAGGUCACCUGAGCCCCCCCACCGCACCCACCCAGCAUCCUCAGCCCCCCGGGCCAGGGGACUCACCGUGGCCUGCCCCAGAGCCACAGGGGUCUCAGGGCCCCUCUGGCCCCAGCCCCGCCCAGCCUCUUGACGGGCACCCAGCCUCCAGCCCCCGCUGUCCCUGCGCUCACCUUGCCCGGGCGUGUGGGGUGACACUGAGGAGGCACUGGCUUUCCCUGGGCCCCCCUCCCAGGUGCAGACAGCAGGUGCAGUGCCCCCCAGCAAGGUGGGGAGGGACCCCCUGGGCUGAAGCUGGAGGGCCCCUCCCCCAGCCAGUCCCGGGCCCCUGGGAUAUCCUCAGCCCUCCACCAGCACCGAGCAUCCUGAUUUCGGCCAGUGGCUGGUUGCCAUGGAAAUGUCCUUGGGACGUGGCGUGGAGAGGGCAGGAGAGGGAGAGGGAAGCCCCUCCACCCCUGCAGAGCCGCUGUCCGAAUCCGAAUCCGGGACUCCCCUUCCCCGCCCACCAAGCCCAGGGCACCGGGAUGCCAGACCGGCGUCUUCCUCCCUGGAGAAGACCCUGCGUGGGCUGCUGCCGCUCUGCCUGGCGGCCGGCGCAGGUGGGGAGGGAGGGGCCGGGCAAAUGAGCGAGUCAGGCGGUUAAUCCUGCUGCAGAUGUGUGCGAGCCGGGGCACACGCGCAGCCCUGCCUCCGGCUCCUCACUGUGCUCAGGGCGCUGGCCCCUCUGGGGAUUCCUGGCUGUUCCAGACGCCGUCCAAGACGAUGCACCUGGCAAGCCCGGGCGGCACAAAGCCUGGGGGGAAGCUGGCAGCAUGGGGCUGAGCCGGCAAGGAGCUCGUGGCUCCACACCGCGGACUCGGGCACAGCCGCCCGCCCAACACGGCGGUCCUCGGGCCACGUCUGGGUUCUGGCAGCCGCCUGGAGACUUGGAGGCCUCACUCGAGCCCCUACGCUGUGACCCACGUGCCUCCUCCCGGGGGUUC
Long non-coding RNA from Oryctolagus cuniculus (rabbit), 1794 nucleotides. The record is from Ensembl. NCBI's taxonomy places the organism in Eukaryota, Metazoa, Chordata, Mammalia, Lagomorpha, Leporidae.